AUUGAACGCUGGCGGCAGGCCUAACACAUGCAAGUCGAGCGGAGCGGGGGACGGGUGAGUAAUGCUUAGGAAUCUGCCUCGUCGUGGGGGAUAACGUCCGGAAACGGGCGCUAAUACCGCAUCCUAUCGCAUGCGCCUCGGUCGGAUUAGCUAGUUGGUGGGGUAAAGGCCUACCAAGGCGACGAUCCGUAACUGGUCUGAGAGGAUGAUCAGUCACACUGGAACUGAGACACGGUCCAGACUCCUACGGGAGGCAGCAGUGGGGAAUAUUGGACAAUGGGCGAAAGCCUGAUCCAGCCAUGCCGCGUGUGUGAAGAAGGUCUUCGGGUUGUAAAGCACUUUAAGUUGGGAGGCGUUACCAGCAGAAUAAGCACCGGCUAACUUCGUGCCAGCAGCCGCGGUAAUAC
RNAcentral lists this ribosomal RNA (407 nucleotides) under uncultured bacterium. Its description in RNAcentral is "partial 16S ribosomal RNA". It matches the Rfam family "Bacterial small subunit ribosomal RNA", at positions 30 to 526 of the family's 1533-position model. The record is from RNAcentral.